Molecule: long non-coding RNA, 4582 nt
Organism: Cervus elaphus (red deer)
Lineage: Eukaryota; Metazoa; Chordata; Mammalia; Artiodactyla; Cervidae
Exons: 4
Source: RefSeq, a predicted model, not a curated record
CUGGAGUGUAACCGCCCCACGUGGGCUCACAUUCCCGGAAGAUGUCUCAGAUCUUUACAGGAGCCACGAGAAAGGGCAAAGUUGGAGCGAGCAGCUGAGCAGAACAUUGAGUUAAGUGCGGGCGCUGAUCCCUGAAAGGCCCGGCUCAGCGAGGGAGAGCAGGGGACCCGGGGUGCAGGACACGGGUCCCAGUAGCAAAACCUUCCAGCCCCGUGGCAGCGCCUUACGGUUCGCCCAGUCAUUAAGAUUCAGCGGGAGGAGCGGAGACUCUGUCUCGAAGAAGCCAGCUGAGACUACACUGUUCAGGCUCAGAUCUGGACGGGAGAGGACUCCCUCCCUUGCCUGGUUUAAGUAACCGAGUUAACUAGCAGUGGCUUCCAGCUUUCCCCGUGACCUCGUGCUCUGUGGACAGAGCCUGACACCCCAAGGCUGGAUGAACCAGUUUCUGCAGCUGGAUGCUGCUAUCUCCCAGGAUCAGCCACGUGAUGUAAAGAAACAGAAGAGAAGGAUCAGAGGCAGCUUUCCCUCAUAUCUGUCAUGCUUUCACUUCUGAGGCUAAACUUGGGCUUUCUGGCACGUGACCUAACCUGAUACCAUGCUCCCUGUGGCCACUCACAGCCAGCUCUGAGGACAUCCUGCCUGGACGUCUCUCUGCCUGGGGUAUUUCUGGCCUCACCCAAGAUAGGAAGAACCUGAAGUCUCCUGAGAGCCUCACCUCUAGAGGUCACCUGUCUGAGUCUGCAGUCACGAGAGAGAGGAGCGUUUGCAAGACGGGGUCAGUGGCUGAACUCGCACCUGCUGAUGGAACUAAGCCGCCGACUCUUCUGAGGGUCACCUUUGCCAUUCACCACCAUUGCCUGGGAAGUUGAUUCUUUUUCCCUCGUGACCUGCUCUGACACCAAAGAGCUCUCUGGUGCCUCCUCUUGGGUCCAGGUGGCCUUUAUCCAAAAAGGCUGGACCAGGGACACUUCUAUUGAACUCCUCCUGUGCAGGUAAAGAACGGCCAUCCCUGUCUUCACUUUUACCACCAUCACUGCCAACAUUCCAGAGCUCCAGUGGCUCCUCUGUCCAUGGGACUUCCCAGGCAAGAAUACUGAGGUUGGGUUGCCAUUUCCUAUUCCAGGGGAUCCUCCCGAACCAGGGAUUGAACCUGCAUUGCUUACAUCUCCUGCAUGAGCAGGGGGGUUCUUUUCCACUAGUGCCACGUGGGACGCCCACCUCUGAUGGUAACUUUGGCUUACCAGCUCUCUGAUGACUCUGCCGAGCUUUUCUCACAUUGAGAAAUGGUCUAGGACCCUUGCUCUGCACAUAUUGUUUCUCUAGAGAAUUCCCACUAAACGCCUGUAUAUCUGUUUGUGAGUUUCCUGUUGUUUCUCUAAGCAAUUGUCACAAAAUUAGUGGCUUAAAAAGACACAAAUGUAUUCUCUUACACUUCUGGAAGUCAGGAGCCCAAUAUGGGUCUCUGGGCUAAAAUCGAAGUAUCACUGGGCUGCAUUCCUUAUGGAGGCUCCAGUGGAGAAUCUACUUCCUUGUCUUUUUCCAGUUGCUGGAAGCCACCUGCAUUUCUUGGCUCAUGGCCCUUUCUUCCAUCUUCAAAGCUGGCAGUGUAGCAUCUUCAGAUCUCUCUGCCUCUGACCUUCCUCCCUCUUUUAAGGAAGGACUCGUUUGAUCAUGUUGGGCCCAUCUGGAUAAUCUCACAUACUCUUCCCAUCUUAGUAUCCUUAAUCACAUCUGCAAAGCAGGGUAAACAUAUUCACAGGUUCUAGGUGUUAGGAGGUGAGUAUCUUUGGGGACCAUUAUUCUGUCUACCAUAAUCUCUUGAUGCCUAAUUCAGGAAUCGGCUAUUCUAGGAAGCCUUCUCUUAGUUAAAAGCAACUACUCAUCCAUAUGAAAUACAUAAUUUUAAUUUUAUCAUAUAUUAUAAUAUUGUGUUAUUUAAUAAAUCACCCAUCACUGCCCUUGUUUUCUUACUUAUGUCCCUUGAAAUAGAUGGUGAGAACCACGGGGUAUAGGGUCAUGUCUUAUUCAAUCUGUAGCCCCCAAGUCGAGCAGAGUGCCUCAGUUUAGGUUUCAAUAAAUACUCACCUGAACUGAAGCAUGCACUUUGUGAUAUGCAGAUUGCAUUUUGACGGGGACAAUCCAGAACACCAUUUGUAGAGUGUCCAAUAUGUAAGACCAACUAGACCGGGGGGGCGCAUAAUACAGGUAGAAAUUUGGGAAGAUAUCACAGUCCAGCCUAAUUUAGAAGGCUGAGUGGAAGCACCAAGGCUGGGAGUGUGAUCCAACGUAGUAUCUUGGGAAAGUAACAAUCUCUUGGAGUUGCUGAAACAUAAAAUUCAAGUAGGAGUAGAGCCUGAAGAUGAGGCUAGAGGGAAGAAAUGGAAAUUCAGGCCAGACUCUUCUACAUUUUACUAAGGAGUUGGGACUUUGUUCUGUAGACAAUUGAGCUUCCCUGAUAACUCAGUUAGUAAAGAAUCUGCCUGCAAUGCAGGAGACCUCGGUUCUAUUCCUGGAUCAGCAAGAUCUGCUGGAGAAGGGAUAGAUUACCCACUCCAGUAUUCUGGCCUGGAGAAUUCCAUGGACUGUAUAGUCCAUGGACUCGCAAAGAGUCGGACACAACUGAGCAACUUUCACUUUCUGUAGGCAACAGAGAGCCAGCAUGUAUUUCUCAGUUGAGUAAUAUGACGGAAUUGUUAUCUCCUGAAUGUGGAGGGUGAGGGAGAAGACAGCAGACUGAAGGCGGGGAGAUUGGGGUGGUUCAUAGGAGGCAGACGUAUGCUCUGGGUCAAGUCUGUGAGAAGCGGGACAGAGGAGCAGACCUCCCGGUUAAACACCGAGGUCAGCAAGGCAGAGACUGUGCACGUUUCAGCUCACCUUUCGUCCUGGCCCCACCGAGCAUCAGUAGGCUCUCAAUGCGCAGGGAUUUGCAAGUAAGUGACAAGACUGAUUUGAGUGAUGUUAAAAAAAAAAAAAAAAAAAGGACCGAUGCAACUGGGUGACUUGGGAACUCCAAAUAAACAUGUUAGACUUAGUCGGCGAGCAUAGCGCGUAGUGCAGGAUCGUGCUAGGAGGGUGGUUUUAACUGGCUGUCCUUUGGCCGUCAGAUGACUGACUCGGGGUGUGUGUGCUGGAGGUGGGCUGGGGGAGGGCAGUGGCCCCUCCCUCUUGGUUUCCAGACACUGGAUCUCCCUGCCUCCUGCCCCUUGACCUUCCAGGCACCUCUCCCCGGCCCCUCCUUGCCAGGCACACCGCUCUGGGCUAAUUCUCGGCUACUCAGGUUUCUAGUCUAGCUUGCCCCAGAGGGCAUCCUGCAUAGCAUUCCUUCUCCAGCCCACUCGGGGAUUCUUAAGUUUAACCUCAUUUCCAUACUCCCAGCAUUUGCCAGCAAAUUCAUUUGGACUCAUUUUGAAUAAGCUCCUGGGUGCUUGGCUCAGACCUUAAAUAUUUCACUUGAUUUGUGUUUGAGAGGGGAGGGGAACCCACAAACAAACAAAAAAUGAUGGCUCUAUAUAAAAUGACAAAUAUUUAUUGGACUUUUCAAAAUGCAUACAAUAAUUCUAAAGGCCUCUGGGAAAAUGUUAAAUUAAAAACUGUGCAGUAAACAACCUGUGAAAUCAACUGCUCUUGGUACAUAAAGGUCUGUUUCUCCCAUUGGUGUGUAUAGGCUUAGACCAUUUGGCCACCACUAUCUUUAUAAAUAGAAAGUGAUGAUGAAACAUUGCAUUUCAGUGAUUCAUAGGCUAAUUAAAAAAAAAAUACACCCUCACCAACAAAAUUCUUUCUUCCCUCUUGCUUCAGUAUGUGAAUUACCUGUCUGUAAUUCAAUCGACUUAGAGAAAUUGAUCUAUGAGGAGAUUUUUAAAUCUAUAGUUUUACCACAAUUGGGAGACUCUGAAUAACAUAAUUGACCAAAUAUAAUUCUCAUCUCUAAGGCUCACCCUUGAUAUGUCAAUAUUUCAGAAAGGAACGAAACCAACAAUUAUUGAGUACCUACUGUGUGCCAGGUUUUGAGCUAAGUGUCUUUUUGAUCCAUUCUUAUUUUAGCUGCAUCUUUGCUGUAGCAAAAUGUAUAUGUAUAUGAUCUCUAUCUUAUAGAUUAGAGAAGGACAGCUCAGGAAAGCUAAGUGCCUUGUGUGGAAUGACCUAAGAAGUGGGCAAAGCAGGAUUCAAGAAUUCAAGCAGAUGUCUGUAACCUGCAGAAGGAAUGGUCAUAGGAAUGAAUGCAGGGACAGUUGUCAGACACCUCACUGGUGAUUUUCUUCCUCUGUCCUGGUUUGCAAAGCAUCAGCUCAGGCACUGCACAUUGCCAGUUAAAUAGAUUCAGAGGUCGGUGUGUGCAAGAGAGGAGCCUCCUCUUCAGCAGGCCACACGUCAACUAUUAUGAUUCCUUGGGAAGUACUGUCUUGUUGCUGAAGUUAGCGGGGAUGCUCUUGCUAUAAGGGGUGAUGUUGGUUUCGGGUUAAGAUGGUGUAUUUAUUUCCUAGGACUGUCUUGGGCUUCCCUGGUAGCUCAGAUGGUAAAGAAUCUGCCUGCAAUGUGGGAGACCUGGGUUCCAUCCCUGGGUUAGGAAGAUGCCCUGGAG